GAUGAACGCUGGCGGCGUGCCUAAUACAUGCAAGUCGAGCGAACAGACGAGGAGCUUGCUCCUCUGACGUUAGCGGCGGACGGGUGAGUAACACGUGGAUAACCUACCUAUAAGACUGGGAUAACUUCGGGAAACCGGAGCUAAUACCGGAUAACAUGUUGAACCGCAUGGUUCAACAGUGAAAGACGGUCUUGCUGUCACUUAUAGAUGGAUCCGCGCCGCAUUAGCUAGUUGGUAAGGUAACGGCUUACCAAGGCAACGAUGCGUAGCCGACCUGAGAGGGUGAUCGGCCACACUGGAACUGAGACACGGUCCAGACUCCUACGGGAGGCAGCAGUAGGGAAUCUUCGGCAAUGGGCGAAAGCCUGACGGAGCAACGCCGCGUGAGUGAAGAAGGUCUUCGGAUCGUAAAACUCUGUUAUUAGGGAAGAACAAAUGUGUAAGUAACUAUUCACGUCUUGACGGUACCUAAUCAGAAAGCCACGGCUAACUACGUG
This 497-nucleotide ribosomal RNA is filed under the name uncultured bacterium. RNAcentral describes it as "partial 16S ribosomal RNA". It matches the Rfam family "Bacterial small subunit ribosomal RNA", at positions 28 to 507 of the family's 1533-position model. The record is from RNAcentral.